GAUGAAUGCUGGCGGCGUGCCUAACACAUGCAAGUCGAGCGGCAGCGAGGGGUUCUUGGAGCCUGUCGGCGAGCGGCGAACGGCUGAGUAACGCGUAGUAAUUUCCGCCAAAGUGAAGAAGAACGGCCCGAAAGGGUAGAUAAUGCCGCAUAUGGUCUUCGGAUGUGAGGGUUUAUCCGCCUUGGCAGAAGCCUGCGUUGGAUCAGGUUGUUGGUAGGGUAAUGGCAUACCAAGCCGACGAGCCAUAGCUGGUCUGAGAGGAUGAGCAGCCAGACUGGAACUGAGCCACGGUUCAGACUCGUACGGGAAGCAGCAGUGAGGGAUCUAUCACAGCGGGCGAAAGGCUGAUGGAGCACGGGCGGGUGAAGGAUGAAGGCCUUGGGGUUGUCUUCUUCUAUUAUGAAUGCAGAAUAUGACGGUACCUAAUGAAUAAGCACCGGCUAACUACGUG
RNAcentral lists this ribosomal RNA (451 nucleotides) under uncultured bacterium. RNAcentral's name for it is "partial 16S ribosomal RNA". It matches the Rfam family "Bacterial small subunit ribosomal RNA", at positions 28 to 507 of the family's 1533-position model. The record is from RNAcentral.